CUAUCUGCAGUCGAGCGAUGGAUUAAGAGCUUGCUCUUAUGAAGUUAGCGGCGGACGGGUGAGUAACACGUGGGUAACCUACCCAUAAGACUGGGAUAACUCCGGGAAACCGGGGCUAAUACCGGAUAAUAUUUUGAACUGCAUAGUUCGAAAUUGAAAGGCGGCUUCGGCUGUCACUUAUGGAUGGACCCGCGUCGCAUUAGCUAGUUGGUGAGGUAACGGCUCACCAAGGCGACGAUGCGUAGCCGACCUGAGAGGGUGAUCGGCCACACUGGGACUGAGACACGGCCCAGACUCCUACGGGAGGCAGCAGUAGGGAAUCUUCCGCAAUGGACGAAAGUCUGACGGAGCAACGCCGCGUGAGUGAUGAAGGCUUUCGGGUCGUAAAACUCUGUUGUUAGGGAAGAACAAGUGCUAGUUGAAUAAGCUGGCACCUUGACGGUACCUAACCAGAAAGCCACGGCUAACUACGUGCCAGCAGCCGCGGUAAUACGUAGGUGGCAAGCGUUAUCCGGAAUUAUUG
RNAcentral lists this ribosomal RNA (523 nucleotides) under Pseudomonas moraviensis. RNAcentral's name for it is "bacterial SSU rRNA". It matches the Rfam family "Bacterial small subunit ribosomal RNA", at positions 51 to 556 of the family's 1533-position model. Lineage: Bacteria; Pseudomonadati; Pseudomonadota; Gammaproteobacteria; Pseudomonadales; Pseudomonadaceae. The record is from RNAcentral.